Molecule: non-coding RNA, 192 nt
Organism: Paramuricea clavata
Lineage: Eukaryota; Metazoa; Cnidaria; Anthozoa; Malacalcyonacea; Plexauridae
Source: the annotation of a GenBank genome assembly
UUUGCCACAAGAUUGUUGAUUCAACAGACUUGUUACAAGCAGUUUCAACAACUUCAUGUUAUCGUCCUGUAAUUUAACAAUUUGUCAACAAGUUUCUCAACUUAUUGACAAAUUGUUAAAUUACAGGACGAUAACAUGAAGUUGUUGAAACAGCUUGUAAGAAGUCUGUUGAAUCAACAAUCUUGUGGCAAG